RNAcentral lists this transfer RNA (65 nucleotides) under Strauchbufo raddei (Mongolian toad). RNAcentral's name for it is "tRNA-Cys". Lineage: Eukaryota; Metazoa; Chordata; Amphibia; Anura; Bufonidae. The record is from RNAcentral.
GGUCCCGGGGUAUUAGCACGCCGGAUUGCAAAUCCGGAGACGCAGAAGAAGUUCUGCCGGGGCUU